CAGAAUGACUACAUCCUGCUUACAUUCGUCAUUCAUAUAGGCAAUAUUGCGAUAUCAUUACGAUCUUUGAUGGACCUUGAGGAAGAGCGUGCUACAUGCAUAGCCAGAAACGAAGCUAAGUUAGCAGAGCUUGGUCUUUUGCAUUCACCUCCCCAGUCCAACAAAAUUACAAGCACUGGAUUGAAAUCCCGCCGACUUCGUAGAAGGAUCGACCAAGCAGUGCAGCCGGCGGUCGACCUUGUCCGCCCUACAUCACGGCACAGUAGGAGAGAGGUCACAGCCAUUACAGGAACUGUUACCACUGAAGAGUCCGAGGCAUACUGUGGAUUGAAAUCAGCACAUGAGCGCAUGGUAAAGCUGUGACCUUUUGCGCCGCCGAUUAUCCUGAUGAUUUUGCUUGCUUUACUUGUCAAGCAUGAUUCCCUCUUUCUUUGCUACCCAUUCCUUUCGCAUUAUCGAAGGAGGCUAUUCAGAACGUUCCUGAACCUAGUCAAGGUGACCUUCCUGGCCUUCAAGGCAUUCCAGUGGAGGUUCGGGAUAUGGCAUCAAAAAUAGGCUUCGAAAUCGGCAGUAGGCCGUUCCAGCUGUUCUACACAGCAUAUGAAAAAUGGAAGUCCGAUUUCAAGCCUGCUUUUAACAGUCCAGGAUCAGCCAAGGCUACCAUGGACAUGUUCAGCACCCUCUACGAAAUGGGCUUCAGGGAGAGAGACCUUCUUGACCAGCAGCAGGUCAACAGGGUGAGCCUCANAACGGUAAGCAUAGAAACCUGUUUCUUUACUGUGAAAAUACAGACUAAAAGAGAGGUUGUUACAAACCCUAAACACAACCAUUCCAGUCACUUGUUGAGGAGGUUUUGUGUAUCUGCUGCGUUUUAUAUGUUAACUUCUCCUUACUNNNNNNNNNNNNNNNNNNNNNNNNNNNNNNNNNNNNNNNNNNNNNNNNNNAGGCUUGAUGUUUCUUCACAAGAAUGGCCAUGUUGUCAUCUGCAGCCGCCUCACAACAUACAAUUAAUGGCAUACAUCGCACCUACAAUGCAGUGCAACCAUGAACUGCUUGAAAUUAAUGUCUUUGCCUGCUGGAUUAUAGAUUUUAUGCUACUGCUAAUAAUAUAAUAAUUAUGUUUCUUUUCAUACAUGUCCACAACAUUGAAUAAGCACUGGUCGGUCCCUCCAUAUUCACCAUGCAGGAAAACAUCGUGCACGACACCGACAAGGUGUCCGUCUUCAUUAUGCACAGGGCGAACAACAGCAAGAAGACCUCCAUGGUAUUGCCCAGUGGUACCAUUAAGGUUGGCAAGGAGCUAAAGAAGCACACGGUCGUAGAGCUUCCAGUGCAGAGCCUACUUGGCAGAUUCAACAAGCAGCAGGUCAAGGAGUGGGCUUUCUCCCAUGGCUGCACAAAUGUUCUAUGGAAUGACUCCAUGGUCCAGUACAAGGGCAAGCUGGCGUUGGUUGCUUAGACAGGUUCCAUGAUGAGCAGGGAUACAGAGAAAGUGGGCAGCUGCAGUCUAGGGCCAUAUAUGUGGUUCAGUGGUGUGUAGUAGGUGUUCACUAGGAAAAAAGGAAGCAGUGCAGUAGUAGUGUGGAACAGGUCACAGGUGAAGGUUGAUGAAGAACAUGUAUGUAUAAUUGCAUGCCAAGACAAGGUACUGAUGUUGCUGUGAUGAUUUUGGUAGCAGCCUCCAGAUGUAAAGAAUAGAGACAAUAGAUGCCUGUACAGGUACAGGCCAGCUGGCUGUGCACUUUACUGCACAAUUCCACAUGAUGAGCAAGUGAGGUGACCAGGGCGACCCAGACUGUUGUGUAUAAUACAUACUUAUGUAUAUAAUUCCUGACGAAUGUGGUUUUGUGCCUACCCAUGCAGUACAAGCUUCUAUCCCCAAUGAUGGCAAAUAGAUGCUGAUGGCAUGAAUAAUGAAGUCAGAGAGCUUUCCAAAAAAAGGGAAUGUGUGAUUUAACAAUGGACAGGGAUCAUGUAAAAGCUCAUAACAUUUACAGCGUCUGAACCUCAAAACAGCAAGUAAAAUCCUUAAACAGCAGUCAGCAAAUAUCNNNNNNNNNNNNNNNNNNNNNNNNNNNNNNNNNNNNNNNNNNNNNNNNNNNNNNNNNNNNNNNNNNNNNNNNNNNNNNNNNNNNNNNNNNNNACCAAUGCCUAAGUCUUGCAAUGCGGCAACCUUUUUCUGUAAUAAAUUACACCUCGAAAUCCAUGAACGGUUUGCCUCAUUGGUACAGGUCGCUUGCAAUCACGCCGUACACAUCUUCAUACAUCAGUCCAGAAUGACUACAUCCUGCUUACAUUCGUCAUUCAUAUAGGCAAUAUUGCGAUAUCAUUACGAUCAUUGAAGGACCUUGAGGAAGAGCGUGCUACAUGCAUAGCCAGAAACGAAGCUAAGUUAGCAGAGCUUGGUCUUUUGCAUUCACCUCCCCAGUCCAACAAAAGUACAAGCACUGGAUUGAAAUCCCGCCGACUUCGUAGAAGGAUCGACCAAGCAGUGCAGCCGGCGGUCGACCUUGUCCGCCCUACAUCACGGCACAGUAGGGGAGAGGUCACAUCCAUUACAGGAACUGUUACCACUGAAGAGUCCGAGGCAUACUGUGAAUUGAAAUCAGCACAUGAGCGCAUGGUAAAGCUGUGACCUUUUGCGCCGCCGAUUAUCCUGAUGAUUUUGCUUGCUUUACUUGUCAAGCAUGAUUCCCUCUUUCUUUGCUACCCAUUCCUUUCGCAUUAUCGAAGGAGGCUAUUCAGAACGUUCCUGAACCUAGUCAAGGUGACCUUCCUGGCCUUCAAGGCAUUCCAGUGGAGGUUCGGGAUAUGGCAUCAAAAAUAGGCUUCGAAAUCGGCAGUAGGCCGUUCCAGCUGUUCUACACAGCAUAUGAGAAUGGAAGUCGGAUUUCAAGCCUGCUUUUAACAGUCCAGGAUCAGCCAAGGCUACCAUGGACAUGUUCAGCACCCUCUACGN
This 2959-nucleotide long non-coding RNA is filed under the name Volvox carteri. RNAcentral's name for it is "long non-coding RNA (VCAR_LNC001697)". Lineage: Eukaryota; Viridiplantae; Chlorophyta; Chlorophyceae; Chlamydomonadales; Volvocaceae. The record is from RNAcentral.